UUCGCUUUCGCUAGCGAAUCGAGCUCAGUGUGAACUAAGCUUAAGAAGCAAUUUAGUAAUGCUCUCCCGUAUUGAACUUCGUGUACAUUUUUAGUUAUCCCAUAAAUAACUGAAAAUAAUUUUCGUCUAAAAUGGAAUAUCAACGGAAUGGAAAUGCUACCAUCGAAUUUCGUAUGUUAGGUGACGACGAGCUGAUCAGAGGAACUAAACGGUUUCUUUCGACUGGCCGGAUAUAGAGUAUGCCAGAUGAUAUACAUACAACGGAGAAGAAAAUAUUUGAAACUUAUUGAACGGGAAAACAAUUGUAAAUGUAAGUCGAAGAAAUUAAUUGACAAGUUGAAAAACGACACGAAAGAGA
This is a long non-coding RNA of Centruroides sculpturatus (bark scorpion), 358 nucleotides long. RefSeq lists it as uncharacterized. The transcript has 2 exons. The record is from RefSeq and is a predicted model, not a curated record. Lineage: Eukaryota; Metazoa; Arthropoda; Arachnida; Scorpiones; Buthidae.